RNAcentral lists this transfer RNA (60 nucleotides) under Nephroselmis pyriformis. RNAcentral describes it as "partial tRNA". The record is from RNAcentral. Lineage: Eukaryota; Viridiplantae; Chlorophyta; Nephroselmidophyceae; Nephroselmidales; Nephroselmidaceae.
AGCUGGUUAGAGCACAUCACUAAUAAUGAGGGGGUCGCAGGUUCGAGCCCCGCCGUAGCC